This 351-nucleotide ribosomal RNA is filed under the name uncultured bacterium. Its description in RNAcentral is "partial 16S ribosomal RNA". It matches the Rfam family "Bacterial small subunit ribosomal RNA", at positions 338 to 681 of the family's 1533-position model. The record is from RNAcentral.
CCUACGGGGGGCAGCAGUGGGGAAUAUUGCGCAAGGGGCGAAAGCCUGACGCAGCGACGCCGCGUGAGGGAUGAAGGUCUUCGGAUCGGAAACCUCUGUCAGCAGGGAAGAACGGUCACGGGGCUAAUCAGCAGUGAAUUGACGGUACCUGCAAAGGAAGCACAGGCUAACUCCGUGCCAGCAGCCGCGGUAAUACGGAGGGGGCGAGCGUUAAUCGGAAUUACGGGGCGUAAAGCGCUCGUAGGCGGUAUGUCAAGUCAAGGGUGAAAUCCCCGCGCUCAACGUGGGAACUGCCUUUGAAACUGGCAACCUGGAUUGUGUGAGAGGCUAGUGGCAUUCCAGGUGUAGUCG